This 328-nucleotide ribosomal RNA is filed under the name Pseudo-nitzschia pungens. Its description in RNAcentral is "partial Bacterial small subunit ribosomal RNA". It matches the Rfam family "Bacterial small subunit ribosomal RNA", at positions 358 to 678 of the family's 1533-position model. The record is from RNAcentral. Lineage: Eukaryota; Bacillariophyta; Bacillariophyceae; Bacillariales; Bacillariaceae.
GGAAUUUUGGACAAUGGGGGAAACCCUGAUCCAGCCAUGCCGCGUGUAUGAAGAAGGCCUUAGGGUUGUAAAGUACUUUUGUUAGGGAAGAAAAGCUAGUUUUUAAUAAAAAUUAGUGAUGACGGUACCUAAAGAAUAAGCACCGGCUAACUACGUGCCAGCAGCCGCGGUAAUACGUAGGGUGCAAGCGUUAAUCGGAAUUACUGGGCGUAAAGCGUGCGCAGGCGGUUGUGUAAGACAGGUGUGAAAUCCCCGGGCUUAACCUGGGAAUUGCAUUUGUGACUGCACGACUAGAGUGUGUCAGAGGGGGGUGGAAUUCCACGUGUAG